CAGCCAAGUCGUGAGGCGGAGCUAAUCCCUUAAAGCCAUUCUCAGUUCGGAUUGUAGGCUGAAACCCGCCUACAUGAAGCUGGAGUUACUAGUAAUCGCAGAUCAGAAUGCUGCGGUGAAUGCGUUCCCGGGUCUUGUACACACCGCCCGUCACACCACGGAAGUUGGGGGCGCCCGAAGCCACUUAGCUAACCCUUUUGGGAAGCGAGUGUCGAAGGUGAAAUCAAUAACUGGGGUGAAGUCGUAACAAGGUAGC
This 256-nucleotide ribosomal RNA is filed under the name uncultured bacterium. RNAcentral's name for it is "partial 16S ribosomal RNA". It matches the Rfam family "Bacterial small subunit ribosomal RNA", at positions 1247 to 1500 of the family's 1533-position model. The record is from RNAcentral.